Rhizobacter sp. Root29 is the source of this 185-nucleotide non-coding RNA. Lineage: Bacteria; Pseudomonadati; Pseudomonadota; Betaproteobacteria; Burkholderiales; Sphaerotilaceae. The record is from Rfam.
UCGGGUCCGUUGCGUUCGCGUGAGUUUUAUAUUUCCUUGAACCGAUGCUCUUAUGAGCAAGGGCUUGGAACAUCGCCCGGUUGGUGUGAUCGUCUCGCGUCAGAUGAACCCGAAGCCCGGCUGACCUCGCCCACCUGAACUGCCUGGGUUCAGGAAUGCGGCUCACGGUGCGUGACGGACACCUU